UACAGCAAGAGCACAAAAAAACACUAAGCUACACUUCCUCCAUAUUAAAACGAACGCCAAAAACAACAACUUUAUAAGACAAUAUUGCCUCAGCAAAGUCAAUGGGAAAUAUAACUAGUUUAAUGGGUGGCUGUCAGAGUGGAUGGAUGGAUGGAUAGAUAGAUAGAUAUGGAGUUUAACACAAGACAAACAGAUGAAAGUGAGUGUCGGAGCCAUUACGUGUUUUAGGGCUGCCCCGGCCAAAUGAGUAGGCGCUUUAAUGCUACAAUCCAAUCAGCAGCAGGCUAAACUAACACCCCAACUGUGUCUUUACUGACUGCAGAAUCAUCCAAUUGAGCGCAUAGCAUUCUGCGUGAGUGUCAUUCAAAUGUUACGUUUUCAGUAACUUUCUCCGAUCAAUAUAAUCGGAUGUUUUUCCCCGGGAGAACUCGGUACACCGUUGCAGCAGGCGCCAAGAUGAGCAAGUGUGGGAGACGACUUGUAUUACUGCAGCAGCAAGACGAAUCUUUCCUUCGGUACUCUGAGCUUUUGGGAAAUUCGUCUCCUCAGCACCUCCACCGUUUCUCCCUGAUGGACGGAGAGCUCGAAGCCGCUGCCAGUGGUUGAGCUGAUGGACAAGCGCAUGGACGUUUCUAAAGAUCAGAGGAAGUUAAGGAGACAAGUAGAAGAAGCCAUUUUGGAUUCUUGGAUGGACCCUAACUUACAGGAUUUCAAAUUCCCUGGAGCAGACCAUGUCUGCAGGGACACUGAGUUGACAUCAGAAGACAAGGGUACACACUUUUAAAUCCCUGGUCUCCAUAUUUCCCCUCCAUCCUCACAUUAUUCAUCCCCUCCACCAUGGCCUCUCCCAGCACAGUUUUUCCUUAACGUCUAAUCAGCCUGGAAUGUUACACCUCUAGCCUUGGAAUUCCUGAAAGCUGAGCUGACUUUUGCAAAGAAUUUGGUUUGUAUAGGGCGGAUGGUCUCUGAAAGUAUUUCUAAUGUACUGUAGAAAAAAAAACAGGGAUGACCAAAUUAGAUGGUGUCAGAUUUUUGGAUCUGAUUUGGCUCUGUAAUCUAGCAAAUUAGAGUAAUAAUUCAUUACAAACUGACAUUGUUAAUUUUAGGGUCACAGUAUGUAUUGUUCAGAGUAAACCAAUUUUAUGGAAGUAAAGGUAUUUGGACAAAUUCACAAUAUGUAUUUGGUCCUUUAUUCCUAUAAAGCAAUUGCCAUUAUGCAUGUAACUACAGCC
This is a long non-coding RNA of Esox lucius (northern pike), 1232 nucleotides long. RefSeq lists it as uncharacterized. NCBI's taxonomy places the organism in Eukaryota, Metazoa, Chordata, Actinopteri, Esociformes, Esocidae. The record is from RefSeq and is a predicted model, not a curated record. The transcript is spliced from 3 exons.